This 253-nucleotide ribosomal RNA is filed under the name uncultured bacterium. RNAcentral's name for it is "partial 16S ribosomal RNA". It matches the Rfam family "Bacterial small subunit ribosomal RNA", at positions 524 to 776 of the family's 1533-position model. The record is from RNAcentral.
UACAGAGGUCUCAAGCGUUGUUCGGAUUCAUUGGGCGUAAAGGGUGCGUAGGCGGCGCGGUAAGUCGGGUGUGAAAUCUCGGGGCUUAACUCCGAAACUGCAUUCGAUACUGCCGUGCUUGAGGACCGGAGAGGAGACUGGAAUUUACGGUGUAGCGGUGAAAUGCGUAGAUAUCGUAAGGAAGACCAGUGGCGAAGGCGGGUCUCUGGACAGUUCCUGACGCUGAGGCACGAAGGCCAGGGGAGCAAACGGG